Molecule: RNA transcript, 4344 nt
Organism: Zalophus californianus (California sea lion)
Lineage: Eukaryota; Metazoa; Chordata; Mammalia; Carnivora; Otariidae
Gene: TEX10
Gene name: testis expressed 10
Exons: 13
Source: RefSeq, a predicted model, not a curated record
GGGGCGGGGCGCCCCGCGGGCGUUUGAAGCGCCUCAAGUGACUGGGCGGGUUCGCGCGGUUUCGCGUCUGAGAGACUUUUAGGCCGGUGUGCCUUGAUUGGGGCUCCGGCUCCCCGACUGUGGUCCUGACCACCGUCCGCAGGAGUAGAAGGAACGAUAGUUCUUACGAUGCACGGGCUCUUCACUUCUGGGAUGCUGGACCAAGGCGCGCAGUGGGGAUGAGCGGGCGUCUUCUAUUCGGCCCUGUUGCCGUCAAGCACUCAAGAAUGACCAAAAAAAGAAAACGCCAAGAUGACUUUCAAAAAGUAAAACUAAAAGUUGGUAAAAAGAAACCCAAGUUAGAAAAUGCUACUAUUACAAACUUUAAAACGAAGACCAUACAUCUGCCUGAGCAACUCAAAGAAGAUGGAACUCUUCCAACAAACAAUAGAAAACUUAACAUAAAGGAUUUGCUGUCACAGAUGCAUCACUACAAUGCUGGGGUUAAACAAAGUGCUCUUCUUGGACUUAAAGACCUUUUGUCUCAGUACCCAUUUAUAAUUGAUGCACACCUUUCAAACAUAUUAAGUGAAGUGACUGCUGUGUUUACAGAUAAAGAUGCUAAUGUACGAUUAGCAGCAGUUCAACUUCUUCAAUUCCUGGCCCCCAAAAUACGAGCUGAACAAAUUUCUCCAUUUUUUCCUUUGGUAAGUGCCCAUCUCUCUAGUGCCAUGACUCACAUUACUGAAGGAAUUCAGGAGGACUCUUUAAAAGUUUUGGACAUUCUGCUGGAACAGUACCCAGCCUUAAUUACUGGCCGUAGCAGUAUAUUGCUUAAGAAUUUUGUAGAACUUAUUUCUCAUCAGCAGCUGUCCAAAGGACUGGUAAAUAGAGACAGAUCCCAGUCCUGGAUACUUUCUGUAAAUCCUAAUCGGAGACUCACUUCUCAGCAGUGGAGGCUGAAAGUCUUAGUGAGACUCAGUAAAUUCCUUCAGGCCUUGGCAGAUGGAUCCAGUAGGUUGAGAGAAAGUGAAGGACUUCAGGAACAAAAAGAAAAUCCCCAUGCCACUAGCAACUCCAUUUUUAUCAACUGGAAAGAACAUGCCAACGACCAGCAGCACAUCCAGGUUUAUGAAAAUGGGGGUUCACAGCCAAAUGUCAGUUCACAGUUCAGGCUACGGUACCUGGUUGGAGGAUUAGGCAGUGUGGAUGAAGGCCUCUCAUCUACUGAAAACUUGAAAGGAUUUAUUGAGAUAAUAAUUCCAUUGCUAAUUGAAUGCUGGAUUGAAGCUGUGCCUCCACAACUAGCUGCUUCUAUUGGAAAUGGUAUAGAACGAGAACCUCUGCAGGUUAUGCAGCAAGUUCUUAAUAUUAUUUCCCUUCUGUGGAAACUCUCUAAACAACAUGAUGAAACUCAUAAAUUGGAGUCGUGGCUUCGAAAGAAUUAUCUUAUUGAUUUCAAACACCAUUUUAUGAGUCAUUUUCCAUAUGCCUUAAAAGAAAUAACCAAGCAUAAAAGGAAAGAGACAAAUAAAAGCAUCAAGCAUUGCACGAUUCUCUCCAAUAAUGUAGAUCAUCUAUUACUGAAUUUAACACUGUCUGAUAUCAUGGUCUCCCUGGCAAAUGCCUCAACUUUGCAGAAGGAUUCCAAUUGGAUAGAAAUGAUAAGGAAAUUUGUGACAGAGACCCUUGAAGAUGGCUUUAGGCUAAAUAGUAAGCAGCUGAACAGAUUGCUUGGGGUAUCAUGGAGAUUAAUGCAGAUACAACCCAACAGAGAGGCUACAGAGUCUCUCAUCAAGGCAGUUUAUACAUUGUAUCAGCAGAGAGGCCUUCUCCUCCCAGUUCGGACUUUGUUACUGAAGUUUUUCAGUAAAAUCUAUCAGAAAGAAGAACUGAGAUCUUACAGAGUCAGAUAUCGUAGUAAGGUGUUAUCCCGUUGGCUGGCUGGUUUACCAUUGCAGCUUGCUCACCUUGGUUCCCGAAAUCCUGACCUCUCAACACAGCUUAUUGAUAUCAUCCAUACUGCGGCAGCACGAGCAAAUAGAGAGUUACUAAAAAGUUUACAAGCUUCUGCUCUGCGAAUCUAUGAUCCACAAGAAGGCACUGUGGUGGUUCUCCCAGCAGAGUCUCAGCAGCGUUUGGUCCAGCUUGUAUAUUUUCUACCCACUCUGCCUGCUGAUUUACUUUCUCGGUUAAGUCGUUGCUGUAUUAUGGGAAGACUCAGUUCAAGUUUGGCUGCCAUGCUCAUUGGGAUACUGCACAUGAGAUCAUCAUUUUCUGGAUGGAAGUAUUCAGUUAAAGACUGGUUGAUGAGUGACGUGGACUAUUUCAGCUUCUUAUUUUCAACACUUACAGGGUUUUCAAAAGAGGAGUUGACUUGGCUUCAGAGCCUUCGAGGAGUUCCUCAUGUCAUCCAGACACAGCUUUCCCCUGUGCUUCUUUACCUUACCGACUUGGAUCAAUUUUUACAUCAUUGGGAUGUAACAGAGGGACAAGCUGUGGGGGGUCUGUGUCUCCAUCCUGGCUCUCCUGCCUCGAGUCCUCAGGUUGAUGCUGCAGAGCCUGCGGGUGAACAGAGCUGGGCCUGAGGAGCUGCCUGUUGUGGGCCAGCUGCUUCGCCUGCUGCUUCAGCAUGCACCCCUCAGGACUCAUAUGUUAACCAAUGCCAUCUUGGUGCAGCAGAUCAUCAAGAAUAUCACGACAUUGAAGAGUGGAGGUAUUCAGGAACAAUGGCUCACAGACUUACAUUAUUGCUUCAAUGUGUAUAUCACUGGGCAUCCCCAGGGGCCCAGUGCACUGAGUACAGUCUAUUGAGUACAGUAAGAGGCUUCGUGGUACCUCCUGUUUGCAAUUGUUUAUUCACAUCUAAUUUUGAAGAGAGACUGAUGUAAUGUUUGUCAUUAAAGCUGAACUUUUAAAGUAGUUGUUUAUGAACCUUCCUUUGCACUAGUAGGAAAACACAGGCUGGCUUCUUGGACUAGUACAUGAUACUUGGUUACAGGUGGUUAGUGUAUUUUGCAUUUCAUAGGAACUAAAUAUUUACAAAAUACAAAGUGAUAAUAUAGUACCUUCUAUUUUAUGUGCCAAGAAAGUAGCAAAAUCUUUGUGUGGUCUCAGCUCCAGUUCAUUCAGACAGCAACAGAAACCAGUUUUUUUAUUUGGGAACAGUUGCCCUUACCCAUCAUGACAUUCAGCUUCUCACUAUGGAGUCCUAUUAUGUACAGCAGUUUUCUAUCCCUCUAUGCGGGAGCAAGAUUUCAAGAUAGUGCUACAGUUGUUUGGGGUUUUCCUAUACCUAAAUGGUACUUGGUUUGAUCUAGUUAAUUCUUUUAAAAGUACUGUCUACUAAUGAUCCGUUAUAGUUCUUUUAAAAUUACAAGCUAGAUAGCAAUUUUAUUGACCCUUGUACAAUGCUGGGGGAGGGUUAGGGGGUACCGACACCUGACACCCACCCCCCACCCCGGUCAGAAAAUCCAUGUAUAAAAUUUGAUUCCCCCAAAUCUUUACUACCAAUAUCCUACUGUUGACCAGAAGCCUUACUGAUAAUCAGUUUACACAUAUUUUGUUAUAUGUAUUAGAUUCUAAUUCUUAAAAUAAAGCAAGCUAGAGAAAAGAACACAUUUGCAGUACUACGGCUGUAUUUAUCGAUACCAUAUGUAUUGGGAAAAAAAAAACCACGUUCAGUGGAUCAACACAAACCUGGUUGUUCAAGGGUCACCUGUAUUCAUUAUUUUCAUAACUUUGAAAUAAUUACCUUAAUUUUUUACAGUUUGCUAAUUGUUAACACUUUAUUGCUUCUUAAUCUCUUACUGUCAAGACAGGGUUGGCAGUAAUUUUAAAAUGGAAGUGGUCCUAGAAAUAUUUGAGCCUAGUAUGUCACUGUUUCAUCCUGCUGUUUACAUUCCUACAGUAACUUUGCUCUUAAAAAUGUGAAAAAGCCUAUGAUCACUGGAUUGUAUUUAUGCCAGGUGUUCUUAGAGUUAAAAUGUGUGUAGUUUUAGGACAGUUUCCCAGCCAGUAGGAAGGGCAUUCUGACAAGAUUGCUCACCUGUACAGGUCAGUCAGAAAAUACAAGAAAAUGGUAAGGCCUGAAGUGGUACCUUAUGCAUGAAUGGUCUGGUCUGUAAACCUCCCCAGUUGAUUUCUCGCUGCUGUGAUACUGCUGGUGCUCAGCAGCAACCUGAGGCCUUCAUAGGCUAACACGGGAACUGUAAAAUGGAAGGAAUCAACAAGGUGCCUAUACUGUCUUACAGGUUUUUUUUUUGUUUUUUGACAGCACAAGCAGGGGGAGUGGGAGAGGGAUAAGCAGACUCCCCGCUGAGCAGGAGCCUGACAAAGGGCUCCAUCCCUGGACUUGGAGAUCAU